This 226-nucleotide ribosomal RNA is filed under the name uncultured bacterium. Its description in RNAcentral is "partial 16S ribosomal RNA". It matches the Rfam family "Bacterial small subunit ribosomal RNA", at positions 538 to 763 of the family's 1533-position model. The record is from RNAcentral.
GCGUUAUCCGGAUUCACUGGGUUUAAAGGGUGCGUAGGCGGGCAGGUAAGUCCGUGGUGAAAUCUCUGAGCUUAACUCAGAAACUGCCAUGGAUACUAUUUGUCUUGAAUAUUGUGGAGGUGAGCGGAAUAUGUCAUGUAGCGGUGAAAUGCUUAGAUAUGGCAUAGAACACCAAUUGCGAAGGCGGCUCACUGCACAAUUAUUGACGCUGAGGCACGAAGGCGUG